ACGACGCUGGCGCGUGCCUAAUACAUGCAAGUCGAGCGAAGUUUUUCUGUGUUUGCACUAGAAAACUUAGCGGCGAACGGGUGAGUAACACGUAAAGAACCUGCUCAUAGACUGGGACAACUAUUGGAAACGAUAGCUAAUACCAGAUAACAGCAUUAACUGCAUGGUUGAUGUUUAAAAGUUGGUUAUGCUAACACUAUGAGAUGGCUUUGCGGUGCAUUAGCUAGUUGGUGGGGUAAAGGCCCACCAAGGCGACGAUGCAUAGCCGACCUGAGAGGGUGAUCGGCCACACUGGGACUGAGACACGGCCCAGACUCCUACGGGAGGCAGCAGUAGGGAAUCUUCCGCAAUGGGCGAAAGCCUGACGGAGCAACGCCGCGUGAGUGAAGAAGGAUUUCGGUUCGUAAAGCUCUGUUGUUAGGGAAGAAUGGAUAUGUAGUAACUAUACAUGUACGAGACGGUACCUAACCAGAAGGCCACGGCUAACUACGUG
RNAcentral lists this ribosomal RNA (493 nucleotides) under uncultured Gemella sp. RNAcentral describes it as "bacterial SSU rRNA". It matches the Rfam family "Bacterial small subunit ribosomal RNA", at positions 32 to 507 of the family's 1533-position model. Lineage: Bacteria; Bacillati; Bacillota; Bacilli; Caryophanales; Gemellaceae. The record is from RNAcentral.